UCUACAGAUAUUUGUUUGGCUCUUCCCCCCCUGAAUCUACUGACCAAUUGCGAGAAAGAAUGCAAAGGUCACAUAGGGCACUUUAGGACUGACCACCAUCCUGAUCCCUCACUCCUUUCUUUAGUUGGGAGAAUGUGAGGACAUGUGAGGUGAAUAUGCUCUGGGCAAGAGUUAAAAGGUAGAGGCCUGGUGGGCUCAUUAAGCUAACACCCUGGCAUGGUCAUGGCUGGCAGGGUGGUAAGAAGAGUGCUGGGGCAGGGCCCAUAUGUCUGUUUCACAUUAACUGUGAGCUCUGGACUACCAUCUGGUUUCAUCCCAGGAUGGUAGUCUUUGCAGACACUGUUAUGUGCCGCCAGAAAGUGAAAAUAGCAGGAAGGGCUCUGUUGCUUCUUAGCCUUACUGCUAUUUGCUGACAACUCCAGGAGACUUGUCCUCCCUCCGUCUGGAUGAAGGGCAAUUACCCAUACAGCUGACAGAGGGGUAGAGCUGGCUUAAGUAAGUGCAGGGUAGAGGAGUCUCCACAAGCUGGGCCUGGAGAUGUCUGAGGAGGCUUUUUCCCAGAUGCUGCCCUAGAGACACUCAGGGCUCCUGCCAGGGCUUUCCUUCAGUAUCUCACAGGACCUACACCCCAAAGUCCAAGCCUCCUGCCCUCCUUUACCCUACCAUCCAGCUUAUCCUUGGUCAGAUGCAAAAUCAGUUUUUAUAUCUUUUAGAAAUAUGUGAGAAAAUACCUUGCACUUUAUUUUCACUUCAUGUUAUGGAUACCAGGUUUUUCAUGUGACUGGGGAUCAUAUUGAGUUAACUAACCAUACGUCAUCCCACCCAAUUGGAAUGUGUAAGCCCAGAUUCUGGAUGACAUACAGGUGGGGACCUUUAGAGCAUUCACUUGUGGGAACCUGAAAGAGCACCUGAAGCCUUCCAGAAAGGCAACCCCUUCUACAUUACCUACUUCCUGUGCGCCUACCUAAAGUUUCUCACCUCCCAACAAACCCUGGGCCUUCUGUUCCAAAGGAACCUAUUCAACUGUCCCAUGGGAUGGGACACUUGGCGUCUGCACAGGGACUUGGGUAUGAGGGAUCCAGUGAAGAGCUCCUGAGGAAGGCUCCUGUGCAGAGCAAGCAAGAAAAGCAGAGGAAAACAGAAGGGGACGGCAGAGAUUCAUCCUGAGAAAGACCAUGGCAGAAAACAGAAGGGGACAGCAGAGACUCAUCCUGAGAAAGGCCAGCGAAAGACAUAGAAGGACGAAGAGAAGAUGUCCUGAUCCACAAAAUGAAGAUCCUUCUUAAAUACCUGAUCCUGUUUUGCUUCUUCGACACUUCGGCUGCUGGUUUUGAUCCUGGUGCUGCUCCCCCUGGCGGAACAGGGAACUCUCUGUCUUGCUUUACAGGAACGCUGCUGCUUUUAUACCAACAAGUCUGGCACCAUUUGUGAUAGUCCCUUAUGGUCUACAUGGAAUAGACUCUUCCCCUUUUCCCUCCCCAUACUUGGUCCGAUUCUGGGUUUACUGAUUGUUUACUCUUUGGGGCCUGUCCUUUUCAAUAAGCUCAUGGCUUUCCUUAAAUGCUAAAUUGAUGACUCCAUAAAAAUGCAGCCUAUCCAAGUCCACUACCACAACCUGGAGAUGGAGUAUCAUGGAGCCUAGACAUUGCUUUUGCCUGAGGCGCUGAAUCGGUUAGCCAAGACAAGUAAGAGAGUCUGAGCCUAACAGUUGUACAGUCCUCACACCUAAGACAGGAAACCCAUCAUUGCAAUGGGAUUCUCCAAUGAUGGGUAAGGAUGGACGUGUGACUCUAAAAACAACUCCAACCUAAGAUAGGCACGCUUCCCCCAGGUUUUUCUCCUCUCUUUGAAA
Tupaia belangeri chinensis (Chinese tree shrew) is the source of this 1852-nucleotide long non-coding RNA. RefSeq lists it as uncharacterized. NCBI's taxonomy places the organism in Eukaryota, Metazoa, Chordata, Mammalia, Scandentia, Tupaiidae. The transcript is spliced from 3 exons. The record is from RefSeq and is a predicted model, not a curated record.